AUCCUGCCGGAGGUUACUGCUAUCGAGGUUCGACUAAGCCAUGCGAGUCGAAUGUAGCAAUACAUGGCGAACUGCUCAGUAACACGUGGACAACCUGCCCUUAGGUUGGGUAUAAACCCGGGAAACUGGGUAUAAUACCCGAUAGGUCUCGAUUGCUGGAAUGCAUCGAGAUUUAAAGCUCCGGCGCCUAAGGAUGGGUCUGCGGCCUAUCAGGUAGUAGUGGGUGUAGCGUACCUACUAGCCUACGACGGGUACGGGUUGUGAGAGCAAGAGCCCGGAGAUGGAUUCUGAGACACGAAUCCAGGCCCUACGGGGUGCAGCAGGCGCGAAAACUUUACAAUGCUGGCAACAGCGAUAAGGGAACCUCGAGUGCCAGGUUACAAAUCUGGCUGUCGAGAUGCCUAAAAAGCAUUUCAUAGCAAGGGCCGGGCAAGACCGGUGCCAGCCGCCGCGGUAACACCGGCGGCUCGAGUGGUAACCGUUAUUAUUGGGUCUAAAGGGUCUGUAGCCGGCCGGAUAAGUCUCUUGAGAAAUCUGGCAGCUUAACUGUCAGGCUUUCAGGAGAUACUGUCUGGCUCGAGGCCGGGAGAGGUGAGAGGUACUUCAGGGGUAGGGGUGAAAUCUUGUAAUCCUUGAAGGACCACCAGUGGCGAAGGCGUCUCACCAGAACGGACCUGACGGCAAGGGACGAAAGCUAGGGGCACGAACCGGAUUAGAUACCCGGGUAGUCCUAGCCGUAAACGAUACUCGCUAGGUGUCGGCCACGGUGCGACCGUUGUCGGUGCCGUAGGGAAGCCGUGAAGCGAGCCACCUGGGAAGUACGGCCGCAAGGCUGAAACUUAAAGGAAUUGGCGGGGGAGCACCACAACGGGUGGAG
Molecule: ribosomal RNA, 877 nt
Filed under: uncultured archaeon
Lineage: Archaea
Description: bacterial SSU rRNA
Rfam family: Archaeal small subunit ribosomal RNA
Source: RNAcentral